Molecule: long non-coding RNA, 301 nt
Organism: Sinocyclocheilus grahami
Lineage: Eukaryota; Metazoa; Chordata; Actinopteri; Cypriniformes; Cyprinidae
Exons: 3
Source: RefSeq, a predicted model, not a curated record
GACCAGACUGAGAGAAACCGUUUUUCUGUGUACUGGAAGCAGGUUGGACCCAUUGUCUUUGGCUCCUUCUGCCUAUUCAUUUUUGAUAUGUGUGAAAGAGGAGUACAGCUGAAGAACCCCUUCUACAGUAUCUGGGCAUCAGAUGUUGGGACAGAGCUUGCUAUGGCCUUCAUCAUUGUAGCAGGAAUCUGCGCAUGUCUCUACUUCCUGUUCCUGUGCUUCAUGGUGUUCCAAGUGUUCAGAAACAUCAGUGGGAAAAGGUCGUCUUUACCUGCUAUGACAAAGGCUCGUCGACUGCACU